Long non-coding RNA from Gadus morhua (Atlantic cod), 1146 nucleotides. RefSeq lists it as uncharacterized. The record is from RefSeq and is a predicted model, not a curated record. The transcript has 2 exons. Lineage: Eukaryota; Metazoa; Chordata; Actinopteri; Gadiformes; Gadidae.
GACAAAACCCCUAUAAUUCAGCAGUGGUUGAAUUCACAAGUCACAUGUCCAACACCACGUGAUGUCAUUUCCUGCAGUGGUGGUAAAUUUGAAAACAGUUGGGUAAGUUUUUCCUUCUCCUCUUCAAUAUUUCAUCAAUAAUUUGGGUUUUACAUUGAGUGUGUUAGUGGCUUGUCAACUGUGUUAUCAACAUUUUCUUGUUCACUUGCAUUGCACAUUAUUUUUUACUAAUAUUAACUGAAAGUGUAUAAAAACACGAGUUGAUCAAGGUCAUAUGGUGACAGGUUCAAGGUUGCCAGUUAGCACAAGGCCCCAAAAUGGCCGAAAUGUCAACCGUGUUACCUGUCAACUGUGUUACCCAUCAAGUGUAACACAGUUGACAGGGAGUAACACGGUUGACAAUGUUGCCAGGUUUCAUUGUGAUAGUUUAUGCUUAUAGUGUUUUGUUUUUUAAUAAUGAAUACAUACUGAAUAACUGGUAGAUUAACUAACCAUUAAUAGUGUUAACUAAGUAUUAACUAACUGUUUUAGGAAGAUGAGUCGCUUAUCUGCUGCUGAGAAGCAGCGCCAGUACAGGGCCCGGCGUAAUGCUGAUCCUGAGAAAAGGGCUGCAUAUUUACAGAAGCACAGGGAGACAUGGCAAGAGAACAAGCAGCGAGGAAAGGUGAAGGCAGUGAAAGAUUUAAGCGAGAGGGAGAAGAGAAGGAAACGAGCAUAUUGGAGAAAAGCCCAACGUCAGACUAGAGAGAGAAAGAAAGUGAUAGAGAGCCAGUUGACUCCACCCCAGAGUCCUGAAGUUAAUCCACAGCCUCAGAUGUCAAGACAGAGAAGUGCUGGAAGGAAGAAAGUCAAGAGAAGGGAGUCAAACUUAUACAGAGAAAUCCAGGCUCUUAAGGAAUCACUCAAUAAACAGAAAAGAAAAACUGAAAAAUACAGGAAAAGACUAACAAGACUACACCAAAAUUCAGAGUCACCCAGAUCAAAAACCCGCCGCCUCUUACGAAGGGUUCCUGUGUCUCGAGAGGUGCACAAAACUUUAGUUUUCCACCAUGCCCUAGUGGACAACAUCAGCAAAAAGUAUGCUUCUACCAAACACAAAAAAACUAGGCAGGUAAUCGCAAACCUUGUGACAGGAAGGAUAUUAAA